RNAcentral lists this ribosomal RNA (533 nucleotides) under uncultured bacterium. RNAcentral's name for it is "bacterial SSU rRNA". It matches the Rfam family "Bacterial small subunit ribosomal RNA", at positions 392 to 920 of the family's 1533-position model. The record is from RNAcentral.
CCAUGCCGCGUGUCUGAAGAAGGCCUUCGGGUUGUAAGGACUUUGUCAGGGAGCAAAACUUACUGGUUAAUACCCGGUGAGGCUGAGAGUACCUGAAGAAUAAGCACCGGCUAACUACGUGCCAGCAGCCGCGGUAAUACGUAGGGUGCAAGCGUUAAUCGGAAUUACUGGGCGUAAAGCGUGCGCAGGCGGACUUUUAAGCCAGAUGUGAAAGCCCCGAGCUUAACUUGGGAAUUGCGUUUGGAACUGGGAGUCUAGAGUCUGUCAGAGGGGGAUGGAAUUCCACGUGUAGCAGUGAAAUGCGUAGAGAUGUGGAGGAACACCGAUGGCGAAGGCAGUCCCCUGGGAUAAGACUGACGCUCAUGCACGAAAGCGUGGGGAGCAAACAGGAUUAGAUACCCUGGUAGUCCACGCCCUAAACGAUGUCUACUAGUUGUUGGGGUAGCAAUACCUCAGUGACGCAGCUAACGCGUGAAGUAGACCGCCUGGGGAGUACGGUCGCAAGAUUAAAACUCAAAGGAAUUGACGGGGGG